GCCAGACUAAAAUUGAUAUUGAAAUGAAAUGAAAGUUUUAUGACGUAAGAUGAAAUUACAUUAUAAGUUUAGUGACUGCUUAUCAUUGAAGUUUCAAUGAAGUGGACAUCAUUUCCUGCAUAUGCAGAUCUACAAAGCCAUUUGUACAACUCAAUCUAUACCCAUAUAUCUUUUCCAUCUAUCUUAACAUCAUGUUGAUAUGUUGUUGUAUGUCGUCGUCACAUCUGCACACAUUCGAAGGGAAAAUUGAUACUUGUAUUAUGUGU
This 266-nucleotide unclassified non-coding RNA is filed under the name Hevea brasiliensis (rubber tree). The record is from RNAcentral. Lineage: Eukaryota; Viridiplantae; Streptophyta; Magnoliopsida; Malpighiales; Euphorbiaceae.